GACAGAGGGUGCAAACGUUGUUCGGAAUUACUGGGCGUAAAGCGUGUGUAGGCGGCCAGGCAAGUCGGAUGUGAAAGCCCAGGGCUCAACCCUGGAAGUGCACUCGAUACUGCUUGGCUAGAGUGUCGGAGAGGUUGGUGGAAUUCUCGGUGUAGAGGUGAAAUUCGUAGAUAUCGAGAGGAACACCGGUGGCGAAGGCGGCCAACUGGACCAUUACUGACGCUGAGGCGCGAAAGCGUGGGGAGCAAACAGG
RNAcentral lists this ribosomal RNA (253 nucleotides) under uncultured bacterium. RNAcentral describes it as "partial 16S ribosomal RNA". It matches the Rfam family "Bacterial small subunit ribosomal RNA", at positions 524 to 776 of the family's 1533-position model. The record is from RNAcentral.